AACAGAGAGAAUCAACAUUAAGCCCCAUUGGACUGGAUUCUGAAGAUGCUUGAGGACUUCCUGCCUUAGUCAGAUUUGGUUUGGAACUGGGGCAGGGCCAGGCCUGCAGGUGGAAGCAACAUCAGCCCCAGCUGUGGGUCCUUCUGACCUCUUUUUCUCUCUACCAGAGAACUGGCUAUUUUUACCUGUCAACUGAGAAGGAUGGAUAGAGAAAAGCAUCAUUACAAAAGUGAAAUGUGUGAAUUUUAUUCUGGCUUUGAACAUUGAGUAGACGAAGAAGACAAUUCCAGACGGAGGAAACUCCACAAGAAAUAUCAUGGAAAUUUGAAAGAACACAGUGGGCUUGGGAAGAGAGAUCUCAGUGGUGGAAGCACCAUCAUCCCAAGGAGACUUAGGACAUUAUUUGAAGAGAGUUUUCCCCUGAGGAAAGUGCUUCAGAGGAGAAAAUACACCAGAAAAAGACAAGGCCCUGCUCUGAGGAGUGAAGACACAAUCCAGCAGGCAGGAGGGAUGGCUAAGUUCAAAGUCUUGAGAAGUGCCCCUCAUGGACACCCCAGGGUGCCCAUCUCCAGGUUACCACCAGGUGCUUCCAAGACCAAGAUAACCAGGCAAUCAUAGUAGAUGCAUCAAUGCACCCUUGCCCAAGGGCCUAGACAAGAGGUAUUGUUUAGCUUCGCAUGAAUUUUAUCACCUUGCCUAGAACCAGCCACCAUCUGCCAGGGCUCCUGACUUUUUCUGAAAUGAAUAGACACUAAAGCCUGCUGGGGAAUUUCAUGGAAAUCAAGAUGACUCAACCCAGAGUCCAUUUCAAGGCUAGGAUGCUAGAGGACGCCAACAAAGGAGUAGGGAAGUGAAACGGAUCAGCUCACAUCCAAGCCCUUGCAUGAUCAAUCCUGCAGUAGGAGUGCUGCUCAGUUGGGACUCAUGAGAGCCCGGAAGAGGAAAAAGCAGCUCUAAGCAUAGCAAAGAAGCUGUUAUGGAAAAGACCCAAAUGUUAAAAUGGUGGACAUAGUAAAGUGAUUGGUUCUGCUUAGGGGAAUCUAGAUCCCCACAUUUUGACCUCCACUGGAGUCUCAGAAGAACAAGUGCCAGGGGGGCUUGCCACAGAGGCCAAGGCAGUGAAUGUCAGGCACAUCACAGUCCCCAAGAUGGGGAGAAGACUGAGAUGCAGGGUAACAACUGCAAUCCAUUCAUGGGAGCCAUGUUUAUCUUAAAUCAUUGACAGUGAGAUAAGGAUCAUGUCAGCCUUCAUACCUUUGAUGAUGAUCCCAGGCUGCAACAGUGACACAUAGAACUGGAUUCAGUAACUAACUACAGAUUCCAUCAACCAGGACUAGUAAAGUGAAAGGCAGAAAUUGGGAGGAGGGGUUUCUUUCUUGCUUAUAAAACUUUAUUUGGUUGUGUUGAGUAUGUGCAUGUAUGUAUGAAAUCCCAUAAAGCAGUCUUCUUAGGAACAAGCCAACAUGCCACAAUGUAGGAGAUCUUUGGAGCACUGGCCUAAAUGGCAGAGAGCUCAAGGGACUCUGCUUUGUACAAGGCAUGAUUUGUACCACCACCACUAUCCCUGUUUCAGAGCACUGUUGAAUUGUUCCAAACCUGGAUUUCUAUGUCAGCUCCCUGUCUAUAGUACUUGACUGAUAAAUGCUAGUUUCUGAAAUCUGCUUUGGUUCUAUAAUUUAUUAGACAGCUUUUUCUUCCCAUUUUAUUACUUGUUUUUACUGUCAUUGGUAUAUUAUCUCUUACAGUGAAAACAUUCAUAGGCUGAUUGAAGAGAAGAUCUGAAAUUAUUAGGCAGCAAGCAUACAAAACCCUUGCUUUAUAAAGAUAAUAUCUUAAAGGCCUAAUGUCUAUGGUUCAAAGCAGCCUGGAGAUGUUGGCUAAAUCUUCCAUCAUAGAGUCCUCAUGGGAUCUGGAAGCUCUGAUUUAUCUUCCUUCAGGCCCUAUAAGUUAGCUUUCCACAUCUGUAGGUUCCACAAUCAACCUUGGAUCAAAAACAUUUGAAA
Molecule: long non-coding RNA, 2003 nt
Filed under: Homo sapiens (human)
Lineage: Eukaryota; Metazoa; Chordata; Mammalia; Primates; Hominidae
Description: HSALNT0172479
Source: RNAcentral